UCGCAUGUUUUUCAAAAACAUUGCUUUUUGAUUAAUCAUAGAAAGUAUAUCUGCCCUGUGAGCAAUCUUUGACGGCCGUGGUAUCCUGACCGUGCUAAGGUAGCACAAUAAUGCGCCUCUUAAUUAGAGGAUAGAAUGAAUGAAUUUACAAAUUACAAUUGUUAUCCUAAAGACAAUGAUAAAAAUUAACCUGUAAGUGAAAAGGCUUACAUAUAUUUAAAGGACAAAAAGACCCUAAAAGCUUUCCGAUAGUAUUUAAUUAUUGUGGCUACCUCGGUUUACUUGGGGCGAGGGUAAGAUAUAAACUCUUAAUCUAUUAAAGAGCUACACCUCUAUCUUGAGCCAGCCACAGAGCACGUGAGCAAGUUACUUUAGGGAUAACAGGUCUAUCUGAUAUGAGUAGUUCUUAUACUAUAUCAGGAUUGACACCUCGAUGUUGGCUUUGGUUUCCUUUCCACAGCAGUUUGUGAAAAAGGUGGUUUGUUCAACCUGUAAAUACCUACAUGAUCUGAGUUCCCACCGGAGA
Molecule: ribosomal RNA, 526 nt
Filed under: Haplosyllis sp. 1 MTA-2011
Lineage: Eukaryota; Metazoa; Annelida; Polychaeta; Phyllodocida; Syllidae
Description: partial 16S ribosomal RNA
Rfam family: Archaeal large subunit ribosomal RNA
Source: RNAcentral